GGAGCUGUGGCUCAGUGGCAGAGCAGUUGCCUCAUAUGCAUGAGGAACAGGGUUCGAUUCUCAGCACCA
This 69-nucleotide transfer RNA is filed under the name Ictidomys tridecemlineatus (thirteen-lined ground squirrel). RNAcentral's name for it is "Spermophilus tridecemlineatus (thirteen-lined ground squirrel) tRNA". It matches the Rfam family "tRNA". Rfam says of the family: Transfer RNA (tRNA) molecules are approximately 80 nucleotides in length. Their secondary structure includes four short double-helical elements and three loops (D, anti-codon, and T loops). Lineage: Eukaryota; Metazoa; Chordata; Mammalia; Rodentia; Sciuridae. The record is from Rfam by way of RNAcentral.